GUAGGGAAUAUUGGUCAAUGGGUGAAAGCCUGAACCAGCCAUGCCGCGUGCAGGAAGACGGCCUUCUGGGUUGUAAACUGCUUUUGCCAGGGGAUAAAAUACCCAUGCGUGGGGAAUUGAAGGUACCUGGUGAAUAAGCCACGGCUAACUACGUGCCAGCAGCCGCGGUAAUACGUAGGUGGCAAGCGUUGUCCGGAUUUAUUGGGUUUAAAGGGUGCGUAGGCGGUUCUAUAAGUCAGUGGUGAAAUACGGCAGCUCAACUGUCGAGGUGCCAUUGAUACUGUAGGACUAGAGUACUGUUGAGGUAGGCGGAAUGGACGGUGUAGCGGUGAAAUGCUUAGAUAUCGUCCAGAACACCGAUAGCGAAGGCAGCUUACUAAAGAGUAACUGACGCUGAGGCACGAAAGUGUGGGGAUCAAACAGGAUUAGAAACCCUUGUAGUCC
RNAcentral lists this ribosomal RNA (444 nucleotides) under uncultured bacterium. RNAcentral describes it as "bacterial SSU rRNA". It matches the Rfam family "Bacterial small subunit ribosomal RNA", at positions 354 to 796 of the family's 1533-position model. The record is from RNAcentral.